This 443-nucleotide ribosomal RNA is filed under the name uncultured bacterium. RNAcentral describes it as "partial 16S ribosomal RNA". It matches the Rfam family "Bacterial small subunit ribosomal RNA", at positions 338 to 795 of the family's 1533-position model. The record is from RNAcentral.
CCUACGGGUGACAGCAGUGGGGAAUAUUGGGCAAUGGAGGAAACUCUGACCCAGCAACGCCGCGUGAAUGAUGCAGGUCUUCGGAUUGUAAAGUUCUUUUCUAAGGGAAGAAGAAAGUGACGGUACCUUAGGAAUAAGCCUCGGCUAACGACGUGCCAGCAGCCGCGGUAAUACGUAGGCGGCAAGCGUUAUCCGGAAUGCCUGGGCGUAAAGGGUGCGUAGGUGGUUUGACAAGUUGGUAGCGUAACUCCGAGGCUUAACCUCGGCACUACUACCAAAACUGUUGGACUCGAGUGCAGGAGGGGCAAAUGGAAUUACUAGUGUAGCGGUGGAAUGCGUAGAGAUUAGGAGGAACACCAGUGGCGAUGGCGAUUUGCUGGACUGUAACUGACACUGAGGCACGAAUUCGUGGGGAGCAAACAGGAUUAGAUACCCUUGUAGUC